Molecule: long non-coding RNA, 931 nt
Filed under: Marmota monax (woodchuck)
Lineage: Eukaryota; Metazoa; Chordata; Mammalia; Rodentia; Sciuridae
Source: RNAcentral
UGGAGGCCGGGGCUGGUGGUGCCUGCCACUCAGGGUGGGCGAGGGAGGAGGCCGGCCUUUCCAGGACCCCCCCCCAUUCCUCUCCCUGGUGAUGCACACACACAGGGGUGUGUUUGCUUUUCAAGAAGGGCUCUGAGGCCAGGCCAGACUGUCACCUGCCACAGGGCACGCCUAGGAGCCAGGCUGGAGGCUGGCCGUUGCUCUCCAGGGGCUCUUUCCAGAGUCCUCAGCCUUGACCUUGAAUGCUGGUGACAGCAUCGCCCUUGUAUUUGACUUGACGUCAGUGGAUUCCUUUGAACCAGUGACCUCUCCAUGUCCAUUGUUAAGUUUAGGUCUCCAAGGAGAGUGAUAAUACCUCUCCCUCCCUCCCUCCCUCCCUCCUUUUAUGGUACUGGGGAAUCAACCCAGGGGUGCUCUAUCACUGAGCUGUACCCCAGCCCCCUUUUCUCUCUCUCUCUCUUUUUUUUUAUUCGUUGUUCAAAACAUUACAAAGCUCUUGACAUAUCAUAUUUCAUACAUUUGAUUCAAGUGCAGCCCCCCUUUCUCAAUCUCUUGCCUUAUUUUCAUUGCGAUUGGGGUUGGGAAGAACGUAAAUGUCCUGAGAAACAGUAGGAAGGAGUUUUAUGGAAAGAUAAGGAGCAAAGUCGUCCCUCAUGAACUCAAGAUGGCUGCCACAGUCCCAGUCCUCAAGGGCAGAGUUCCAAAGAGUGAGACUUUCUUCUGCUCUCUCUUUUAUCAGAGAUUAAGAUCCCAGAACACCUGUACAUCACGAGAACAGGGUCUCAGCUCCUAGCCUACCAAGGGCAAAGGGAACAAGAUGCUGGUGGAGUGGGACCAACACUGGUUCCUUUUGGGGCGGGUGGGAUGAGCAUGAACCCGAUAAACAGGGCUUUCUCUAGCGGUAAGUGUCCCCACGGAGCUUCCCCCCCCA